This 487-nucleotide ribosomal RNA is filed under the name uncultured bacterium. RNAcentral describes it as "bacterial SSU rRNA". It matches the Rfam family "Bacterial small subunit ribosomal RNA", at positions 29 to 526 of the family's 1533-position model. The record is from RNAcentral.
AAUGAACGUUGGCGGCGUGGAUUAGGCAUGCAAGUCGAGCGAGAAUCCCAGCAAUGGGAGGAAAGCGGCGAAAGGGAGAGUAACACGUGGAUUAUCUGCCCUCUGGACCGGGAUAGCUACGGGAAACUGUAGGUAAUACCGGAUAACAUCUACGGAUCAAAUGGUGUGAUUCCGCCGGAGGAUGAGUCCGCGUCCUAUUAGCUAGUUGGUGAGGUAACGGCUCACCAAGGCCAUGAUGGGUAGCGGGUGUGAGAGCAUGGCCCGUCUCACUGGGACUGAGAUACUGCCCAGACACCUACGGGUGGCUGCAGUCGAGGAUCUUCGGCAAUGGGCGCAAGCCUGACCGAGCGACGCCGCGUGCGGGAUGAAGGCCUUCGGGUUGUAAACCGCUGUCGGAGGGAAGGAAAUAUUAGGGGGUUCUCCCCUUAGUUUGACCAACCCUCGGAGGAAGUACGGGCUAAGUUCGUGCCAGCAGCCGCCGUAACAC